CUACGGAGGGUGCAAGCGUUAAUCGGAAUUACUGGGCGUAAAGCGCGCGUAGGCGGUUUGUUAAGCUAGCUGUGAAAGCCCCGGGCUCAACCUGGGAAUUGCAGUUAGAACUGGCAGGCUAGAGUACAGCAGAGGAUAGUGGAAUUUCAGGUGUAGCGGUGAAAUGCGUAGAUAUCUGAAGGAACACCAGUGGCGAAGGCGACUGUCUGGACUAACAUUGACGCUGAGGUGCGAAAGCGUGGGGAGCAAACAGGAUUAGAAACCCCAGUAGUCC
RNAcentral lists this ribosomal RNA (274 nucleotides) under uncultured bacterium. RNAcentral's name for it is "partial 16S ribosomal RNA". It matches the Rfam family "Bacterial small subunit ribosomal RNA", at positions 523 to 796 of the family's 1533-position model. The record is from RNAcentral.